RNAcentral lists this ribosomal RNA (869 nucleotides) under Hebeloma alpinum. RNAcentral's name for it is "LSU rRNA". It matches the Rfam family "Eukaryotic large subunit ribosomal RNA", at positions 81 to 935 of the family's 3401-position model. The record is from RNAcentral. Lineage: Eukaryota; Fungi; Basidiomycota; Agaricomycetes; Agaricales; Hymenogastraceae.
UAGUAACUGCGAGUGAAGCGGGAAAAGCUCAAAUUUAAAAUCUGGCGGUCUCUGGCCGUCCGAGUUGUAAUCUAGAGAAGUGUUAUCCGCGCUGGACCGUGUACAAGUCUCCUGGAAUGGAGCGUCAUAGAGGGUGAGAAUCCCGUCUUUGACACGGACUGCCAGGGCUUUGUGAUGCGCUCUCAAAGAGUCGAGUUGUUUGGGAAUGCAGCUCAAAAUGGGUGGUAAAUUCCAUCUAAAGCUAAAUAUUGGCGAGAGACCGAUAGCGAACAAGUACCGUGAGGGAAAGAUGAAAAGAACUUUGGAAAGAGAGUUAAACAGUACGUGAAAUUGCUGAAAGGGAAACGCUUGAAGUCAGUCGCGUUGGCCGGGGAUCAACCUUGCUUUUGCUGGGCGUACUUUCCGGUUGAUGGGUCAGCAUCAAUUUUGACCGUUGGAUAAAGUCCAGGGGAAUGUGGCAUCUUCGGAUGUGUUAUAGCCCUUGGUCGCAUACAACGGUUGGGAUUGAGGAACUCAGCACGCCGCAAGGCCGGGUACUUGUACCACGUUCGUGCUUAGGAUGCUGGCAUAAUGGCUUUAAUCGACCCGUCUUGAAACACGGACCAAGGAGUCUAACAUGCCUGCGAGUGUUUGGGUGGAAAACUCGGACGCGUAAUGAAAGUGAAAGUUGAGAUCCCUGUCGUGGGGAGCAUCGACGCCCGGACCAGACCUUUUGUGACGGAUCCGCGGUAGAGCAUGUAUGUUGGGACCCGAAAGAUGGUGAACUAUGCCUGAAUAGGGUGAAGCCAGAGGAAACUCUGGUGGAGGCUCGUAGCGAUUCUGACGUGCAAAUCGAUCGUCAAAUUUGGGUAUAGGGGCGAAAGACUAAU